CAGUAGCCGCGGGAAUACGAAGGGUGCAAGCGUUAAUCGGAAUUACUGGGCGUAAAGCGUGCGUAGGCGGAGAGUUAAGUCUGUUGUGAAAUCCCCGGGCUCAACCUGGGAAUGGCAGUGGAUACUGGCUCGCUAGAGUGUGUCAGAGGAUGGUGGAAUUCCCGGUGUAGCGGUGAAAUGCGUAGAGAUCGGGAGGAACAUCAGUGGCGAAGGCGGCCAUCUGGGACAACACUGACGCUGAGGCACGAAAGCGUGGGGAGCAAACAGGAUUAGAUACCCGCGUAGUCCCUGUCUCUUAUAC
This 301-nucleotide ribosomal RNA is filed under the name uncultured bacterium. RNAcentral's name for it is "partial 16S ribosomal RNA". It matches the Rfam family "Bacterial small subunit ribosomal RNA", at positions 509 to 807 of the family's 1533-position model. The record is from RNAcentral.